CGCGGUAUUUUGACUGUGCAAAGGUAGCAUAAUCAUUUGUCUUUUAAUUGAAGACUUGUAUGAAUGGCUGAACGAGAAAAUAACUGUCUCUUUAAAAAAUCUUGAACUUUACUUUUAAGUGAAAAGGCUUAAAUAAUUUUAAGGGACGAUAAGACCCUAUAAAUCUUUAUAUUAUUUUUCUUUAACUUUCAAAUUAUAUAUUAAAAGAAAUAAAAGAAAAAAAUAUUGUAUUGGGGAGAUAAAAAUAUAAUUUUUUAACUGUUUUAAAUAUAAAACAAUAAUUUUUGAUUUACUAAAAAUUGAUCCUUUUUAAAGAUUUUAAGAUUAAGUUACUUUAGGGAUAACAGCGUAAUUUUUUUUGAGAGUUCUUAUCGAAAAAAAAGUUUGCGACCUCGAUGUUGAAUUAAAAUAUCCUUAUAAGUGUAGAAGCUAUAAAGGAAAGUCUGUUCGACUUUUAAAAUUUUACAU
Molecule: ribosomal RNA, 468 nt
Filed under: Aegla intercalata
Lineage: Eukaryota; Metazoa; Arthropoda; Malacostraca; Decapoda; Aeglidae
Description: partial 16S large subunit ribosomal RNA
Rfam family: Bacterial large subunit ribosomal RNA
Source: RNAcentral